RNAcentral lists this ribosomal RNA (396 nucleotides) under Triticum aestivum (bread wheat). Its description in RNAcentral is "partial small subunit ribosomal RNA". The record is from RNAcentral. Lineage: Eukaryota; Viridiplantae; Streptophyta; Magnoliopsida; Poales; Poaceae.
AUGGAUGGAGUUGUAUUUCUGCAUGAAGCUCCGAACUCUAUACAAAAUAAAAAACAAAGUGCUAUUUUAUUCAAAGUUGACUUUGAAAAAGCAUAUGACAAAAUCAAGUGGCCUUUUGCUCAUAAGAUGCUCCAAUUAAAAAACUUCCCUGACAAAUGGUGUGGCUGGGUGUUGCACACUAUGAGAGGGGGGCAUGUAGCAGUCAAAGUAAAUGAUGAUAUAGGUCCUUACUUCAAUACCUUUAAAGGACUAAGGCAGGGAGAUUCUUUAUCUCCUCUGCUCUUUGAUUUGGCAGUUGAUGCUCUGACCAUCAUUCUGGAUAGGGCCAGAGAGGAAGGGCUUGUAAAAGGGGUUCUCACUGAUUACCAUGAAAAUGGAGUCAAUAUGCUGCAAUAA